AUUGAACGCAGGCGGCAGGCCUAACACAUGCAAGUCGAACGAGUGGCGGACGGGUGAGUAAUGUCUGGGAAACUUCCUGAUGGAGGGGGAUAACGACUGGAAACGGUAGCUAAUACCGCAUACCAUCAGAUGUGCCCAGAUGGGGUGAGCUAGGUGGUGGGGUAACCUCUCCCCAGGGCGCCGAUCCCUAGCUGGUCUGAGAGUAUGACCAGCCACACUGGAACUGAGACACGGUCCAGAGUCCUACGGGAGGCUGCAGGGGGGAAUAUUGAACUAUGGGCGCAAGCCUGAUGCAGCCAUGCCGCGUGUAUGAAGAUUGCUUUCGGGUUGUAAAGUACUUUCAGCGGGGAGGCGUUACCCGCAGAAGAAGCACCGGCUAACUCCGUGCCAGCCGCCGCGGUAAUAC
Molecule: ribosomal RNA, 406 nt
Filed under: uncultured bacterium
Lineage: Bacteria
Description: partial 16S ribosomal RNA
Rfam family: Bacterial small subunit ribosomal RNA
Source: RNAcentral